GUUAGAAAGCAGAAACUAACACACCAUUGUAAAGCAAUUAUACUCCAAUAAAGAUGUAAAAAAAAAAAAGAGUGGCCCCAGCUCUCCGCAACUAGAGAAAGCCCUCGCACAGAAACAAAGACCCAGCACAGCCAAAAAUAAAUAAAUAAGUAAAUUAAUUAAAAAAAAAAGAAUGGGUUUUGAGGACAUCAAUGGGGAGUCUUUCCUCUGCCUAACCAUCUUUGCUCUUGCCCCAUUUUCCUUCGAGGAAUCUUGAUCCUGUGUGACUUGCCUCCCCCUAUACCAAGCUCACCUACCUUUUGAAGCGUAAUUGAUUCCACUCCUGCCAGACAGCCUGGGAUCUGGCUCGCCCAGGGUCCUGCACUGAGCAGAAAACUCAUUCUCAUAGGACCCAGGAUGGAUCGUCGUCAGCCACUGGCCACAGGGUGGAGUGGAUAGUGGCUCUGAGUUAGCCUGAGAAUAGCCACAUCAGGAGAGAAGGCUCUAGGUGUGCCGAGAAAGGCUUUCCUGCUUUUCAUACCUUGGACCCCAUCUUUGAAGAAAAAGAAGUCCUGACUCUGAAGAUCAAAGUUCACCUUGCAUCUUGAAACAGAUCUCAGUUCUACUCCCAAAUCCUGCUUCUACUUUAUCCUCUUCAUCACCCUUGUGAUUACAUGGUGCCCAGGAUAAUCUCCUUAAUUUGAGCAACAUGAUUGACCCAGACAAGCUGAGGGGAGAGUGCUCCUGGUGGUCAGUAGCUGCACUUUCUGCUCUGCCUAGCUGGGACCCAGUCUGGAAACGUGGAGCAGAAUUCUGUACCUGUUCCAGCCACCACAAUGACACCUUGCUUGAGCUUCAACGUAUCUUUUGAGCCUGGAGUCUCUUCUGGGAGAGUGUGAUUUGCGUCAGGAAAAUAAAUGUCUGGAUGUGAAAUUGUGU
Long non-coding RNA from Lagenorhynchus albirostris (white-beaked dolphin), 918 nucleotides. RefSeq lists it as uncharacterized. The transcript is spliced from 5 exons. NCBI's taxonomy places the organism in Eukaryota, Metazoa, Chordata, Mammalia, Artiodactyla, Delphinidae. The record is from RefSeq and is a predicted model, not a curated record.